UACGUAGGGGGCGAGCGUUGUCCGGAGUGACUGGGCGUAAAGCGCGCGCAGGCGGUUAGACACGCCGGUCGUGAAAGCCCCCGGCUCAACCGGGGCGGGUCGAUCGGGACGGUCUGACUGGAGGGUGUCAGAGGGGGGUGGAACGCCGCGUGGAGCGGUGAAAUGCGUAGAUAUCGGGAGGAACACCAGUGGCGAAGGCGGCUGCCUGGACCUCUGCUGACGCUGAGGCGCGAAAGCGUGGGGAGCGAUCCGG
RNAcentral lists this ribosomal RNA (253 nucleotides) under uncultured bacterium. RNAcentral's name for it is "partial 16S ribosomal RNA". It matches the Rfam family "Bacterial small subunit ribosomal RNA", at positions 524 to 776 of the family's 1533-position model. The record is from RNAcentral.